CCUANGGGUGGCAGCAGUCGCGAAAACUUCACAAUGGGAGAAAUCCCGAUGAGGGAAUACCAAGUGCCAGCACUUUUGUGUUGGCUGUUCCCCUGUCUAAAAAACAGGAGAAGUAAGGGCCGGGUAAGACGGGUGCCAGCCGCCGCGGUAAUACCCGCGGCCCGAGUGGUGGUCGAUAUUAUUGAGCCUAAAACGUCCGUAGCCGGUCUCAUAAAUCCUUGGGUAAAUCGGCCAGCUUAACUGUCCGAAGUCCGAGGAGACUGUGAGACUUGGGAUCGGGAGAGGUCAGAGGUACUUCUGGGGUAGGGGUAAAAUCCUGUAAUCCUGGAAGGACCACCGGUGGCGAAGGCGUCUGACUAGAACGAAUUCGACGGUGAGGGACAAAGCCCUGGGGCGCAAACGGGAUUAGAUACCCCANUANUC
Molecule: ribosomal RNA, 423 nt
Filed under: uncultured bacterium
Lineage: Bacteria
Description: bacterial SSU rRNA
Rfam family: Archaeal small subunit ribosomal RNA
Source: RNAcentral